GACGAACGCUGGCGGCGUGCUUAACACAUGCAAGUCGAACGAAGAGCGAUGGAAGCUUGCUUCUAUCAAUCUUAGUGUCGAACGGGUGAGUAACGCGUAAUCAACCUGCCCUUCAGAGGGGGACAACAGUUGGAAACGACUGCUAAUACCGCAUACGAUCUAAUCUCGGCAUCGAGGAUAGAUGAAAGGUGGCCUCUACAUGUAAGCUAUCACUGAAGGAGGGGAUUGCGUCUGAUUAGCUAGUUGGAGGGGUAACGGCCAACCAAGGCGAUGAUAGGUAGCCGGUCUGAGAGGAUGAACGGCCACAUUGGGACUGAGACACGGCCCAGACUCCUACGGGAGGCAGCAGUGGGGAAUCUUCCGCAAUGGACGAAAGUCUGACGGAGCAACGCCGCGUGAGUGAUGACGGCCUUCGGGUUGUAAAGCUCUGUUAAUCGGGACGAAAGGCCUUCUUGCGAAUAGUGAGAAGGAUUGACGGUACCGGAAUAGAAAGCCACGGCUAACUACGUG
This 510-nucleotide ribosomal RNA is filed under the name uncultured bacterium. RNAcentral describes it as "partial 16S ribosomal RNA". It matches the Rfam family "Bacterial small subunit ribosomal RNA", at positions 28 to 507 of the family's 1533-position model. The record is from RNAcentral.